GAGACGGAAAUACGUAAAGCGUAUUCCGGUGACCGCGUAGACUUCGAAGGCAGCCGAAUGGAGGAGGUGCCUCAGGGCUGUCCCGGGACCGGCAGCGCCCAGGCGGGCCGAGGGGCCUCAUGUCAGGGCUGCCCCAACCAGCGGCUCUGCGCUUCCGGAGCCGGCGCCGCUCCCGACCCAGCUAUAGAAGAAAUCAAAGAAAAAAUGAAGACUGUGAAACACAAAAUCUUGGUAUUAUCUGGGAAAGGUGGCGUUGGAAAAAGCACAUUCAGUGCCCACCUUGCCCAUGGCCUAGCAGAGGAUGAAAACACACAGGUCGCUCUUCUGGACAUUGAUAUAUGUGGGCCGUCAAUUCCCAAGAUAAUGGGCUUGGAAGGAGAACAGGUUCACCAGAGUGGCUCGGGCUGGUCUCCAGUGUUCGUGGAAGACAACCUCGGGGUGAUGUCGGUCGGUUUCCUGCUCAGCAGUCCUGAUGACGCCGUCAUCUGGAGGGGACCAAAAAAAAAUGGCAUGAUCAAGCAGUUCCUCCGUGACGUGGACUGGGGAGAGCUGGACUACCUCAUCGUGGACACCCCGCCCGGCACGUCGGACGAACACCUGUCGGUCGUGCAGUACCUGUCGGCGGCGCGCCUCGACGGGGCCGUGAUCAUCACCACGCCUCAGGAGGUGUCCCUCCAGGAUGUCCGGAAGGAGAUCAGCUUCUGCCACAAGGUGAAGGUGCCCAUCAUCGGAGUGGUGGAGAACAUGAGCGUCUUCGUCUGCCCCAAGUGCAAGAAAGAAUCUCAGAUAUUCCCCCCAACAACGGGGGGUGCGGAGGUCAUGUGCCAGGAUCUGAAGAUCCCGCUCCUCGGGAAAGUGCCUCUGGACCCACACAUAGGUAAGAGUUGCGACAAAGGACAGUCUUUCCUGAUGGACGCGCCAGCUUCUGCAGCCGCUCUAGCCUAUAGAAGUAUCAUUCAAAAGAUCCAGGAGUUCUGUGGUCACCAUCAGCCCAAAGAAGAGCACCUCGUUGGUUCCUGAGACACGAGCUGCACGUGGAGCGCAGCCUGAGCAGCCCGGGGACAGAGCGGGGGUCUUGGGCAGAAAAGGACCAGACUCUGGCCUGCUUCCGGAAAACGGACAGCUGGUUGGUCAGGGAGUUCUUCUCUGCUGGAAGCUUGCGGAAGGACAACCUCUUGCUUAAGCCACUGCGGCCUCAAGAGAGACGCCUAAAAAAGAAGCAUCUCAAAAUCCAGUCAUGGUUUCAAAUAACACGGUCCAAAUGCCGCUGCUUUAGAUUGAGGGGAAAAUGCAACCAGCCCCGAAGAGCCCUUCAGUCACCCCUGUAGACAGAACAGGGGGGCCAGGCCCGUGCCCCAUGCGCUAAGGUGCGUUCACUGUCCAAUAAUUUCUGCCGUCCUAUGA
Molecule: RNA transcript, 1404 nt
Organism: Mustela lutreola (European mink)
Lineage: Eukaryota; Metazoa; Chordata; Mammalia; Carnivora; Mustelidae
Gene: NUBP1
Gene name: NUBP iron-sulfur cluster assembly factor 1, cytosolic
Exons: 12
Source: RefSeq, a predicted model, not a curated record